CCUACGGGUGGCAGCAGUGGGGAAUAUUGCACAAUGGGGGAAACCCUGAUGCAGCGACGCCGCGUGAGGGAAGAAGUAUUUCGGUACGUAAACUUCUAUCAGCAGGGAAGAAAAUGACGGUACCUGACUAAGAAGCCCCGGCUAACUACGUGCCAGCAGCCGCGGUAAUACGUAGGGGGCAAGCGUUAUCCGGAUUUACUGGGUGUAAAGGGAGCGUAGGCGGUUUAGCAAGUCAGAAGUGAAAGCCCGUGGCUCAACUCCGGGACUGCUUUUGAAACUGUUGAACUAGAGUGCAGGAGAGGUAAGUGGAAUUCCUAGUGUAGCGGUGAAAUGCGUAGAUAUUAGGAGGAACACCAGUGGCGAAGGCGGCUUACUGGACUGUGACUGACGUUGAGGCCCGAAAGCGUGGGGAGCAAACAGGAUUAGAUACCCUUGUAGUC
Molecule: ribosomal RNA, 440 nt
Filed under: uncultured bacterium
Lineage: Bacteria
Description: partial 16S ribosomal RNA
Rfam family: Bacterial small subunit ribosomal RNA
Source: RNAcentral